Molecule: unclassified non-coding RNA, 241 nt
Filed under: Hyaloscypha sp.
Lineage: Eukaryota; Fungi; Ascomycota; Leotiomycetes; Helotiales; Hyaloscyphaceae
Also listed under: 2 other names
Description: partial contains 5.8S ribosomal RNA, internal transcribed spacer 2, and large subunit ribosomal RNA
Rfam family: 5.8S ribosomal RNA (bases 1-52)
Source: RNAcentral
AACGCACAUUGCGCCCCUUGGUAUUCCGAGGGGCAUGCCUGUUCGAGCGUCAUUAUAACCACUCAAGCCUGGCUUGGUAUUGGGGUUUUCGCGUGUUCGCGGCCCUUAAAAUCAGUGGCGGUGCCGUCUGGCUCUAAGCGUAGUAAUUUCUCUCGCUAUAGGGUUCCGGUGGUUACUUGCCAAAACCCCCCAUUUUUUCUAGGUUGACCUCGGAUCAGGUAGGGAUACCCGCUGAACUUAA